CAUGCAAGUCGAGCGAACAGAUAAGGAGCUUGCUCCUUUGACGUUAGCGGCGGACGGGUGAGUAACACGUGGAUAACCUACCUAUAAGACUGGGAUAACUUCGGGAAACCGGAGCUAAUACCGGAUAAGAUUUUGAACCGCAUGGUUCAAUAGUGAAAGACGGCCUUGCUGUCACUUAUAGAUGGAUCCGCGCCGUAUUAGCUAGUUGGUAAGGUAACGGCUUACCAAGGCAACGAUACGUAGCCGACCUGAGAGGGUGAUCGGCCACACUGGAACUGAGACACGGUCCAGACUCCUACGGGAGGCAGCAGUAGGGAAUCUUCCGCAAUGGGCGAAAGCCUGACGGAGCAACGCCGCGUGAGUGAUGAAGGUCUUCGGAUCGUAAAACUCUGUUAUCAGGGAAGAACAAACGUGUAAGUAACUGUGCACGUCUUGACGGUACCUGAUCAGAAAGCCACGGCUAACUACGUGCCAGCAGCCGCGGUAAUACGUAGGUGGCAAGCGUUAUCCGGAAUUAUUGGGCGUAAAGCGCGCGUAGGCGGUUUUUUAAGUCUGAUGUGAAAGCCCACGGCUCAACCGUGGAGGGUCAUUGGAAACUGGAAAACUUGAGUGCAGAAGAGGAAAGUGGAAUUCCAUGUGUAGCGGUGAAAUGCGCAGAGAUAUGGAGGAACACCAGUGGCGAAGGCGACUUUCUGGUCUGUAACUGACGCUGAUGUGCGAAAGCGUGGGGAUCAAACAGGAUUAGAUACCCUGGUAGUCCACGCCGUAAACGAUGAGUGCUAAGUGUUAGGGGGUUUCCGCCCCUUAGUGCUGCAGCUAACGCAUUAAGCACUCCGCCUGGGGAGUACGACCGCAGGUGAAACUCAAAGGAAUUGACGGGGCCGCACAAGCGGUGGAGCAUGUGGUUUAAUUCGAAGCAACGCGAAAACCUUACCAAUCUUGACAUCCUUUGACC
This 955-nucleotide ribosomal RNA is filed under the name Staphylococcus pasteuri. RNAcentral describes it as "bacterial SSU rRNA". It matches the Rfam family "Bacterial small subunit ribosomal RNA", at positions 54 to 996 of the family's 1533-position model. The record is from RNAcentral. Lineage: Bacteria; Bacillati; Bacillota; Bacilli; Caryophanales; Staphylococcaceae.